RNAcentral lists this ribosomal RNA (254 nucleotides) under uncultured bacterium. RNAcentral's name for it is "partial 16S ribosomal RNA". It matches the Rfam family "Bacterial small subunit ribosomal RNA", at positions 524 to 776 of the family's 1533-position model. The record is from RNAcentral.
UACGUAGGGGGCAAGCGUUUGUCCGGAUUUAUUGGGCGUAAAGAGCGUGUAGGCGGCCAGGUAGGUCAGCUGUGAAAACUCGAGGCUCAACCUCGAGACGUCGGUUGAAACCACCUGGCUAGAGUCCGGAAGAGGAGAGUGGAAUUCCUGGUGUAGCGGUGAAAUGCGCAGAUAUCAGGAAGAACACCAGUGGCGAAGGCGCCUUCCUGGCCUGUAACUGACGCUGAUGUGCGAAAGCGUGGGGAGCAAACCGG